UCGGGAAUUUUGGGCAAUGGGCGAAAGCCUGACCCAGCAACGCCGCGUGAAGGAUGAAGUAUUUCGGUAUGUAAACUUCGAAAGAAUAGGAAGAAUAAAUGACGGUACUAUUUAUAAGGUCCGGCUAACUACGUGCCAGCAGCCGCGGUAAUACGUAGGGACCAAGCGUUGUUCGGAUUUACUGGGCGUAAAGGGCGCGUAGGCGGUGUGUCAAGUCAGUUGUGAAAUCUCCGAGCUUAACUCGGAGCGGUCAACUGAUACUGUCACACUAGAGUACAGAAGGGGCAAUCGGAAUUCUUGGUGUAGCGGUGAAAUGCGUAGAUAUCAAGAGGAACACCUGAGGCGAAGGCGGGUUGCUGGGCUGAUACUGACGCUGAAGCGCGAAAGCUAGGGUAGCAAACGGGAUUAGAUACCCCGGUAGUCCCUGAGCGGGCUGGCAAGGCGCAU
RNAcentral lists this ribosomal RNA (447 nucleotides) under uncultured bacterium. RNAcentral describes it as "bacterial SSU rRNA". It matches the Rfam family "Bacterial small subunit ribosomal RNA", at positions 355 to 825 of the family's 1533-position model. The record is from RNAcentral.